AUUUGAAACACGAUGGAGGUGUAAGUUAUAAACACAAAUAAUUAAUGAAAGUGCAGCUCUUCUUUGCAAUGCAGAGGUUUUAGCAAUUUUGGAAAAUUCUAAAUCUGAUUUGAAAGGCUCAAAAUAUGGUGUUCAGAGUGCAAAUGAAAAAAACAAGCAAUUAAGUAACAAAGAAAAAGGCUUACAGCGUUUGAAUACAAU
This 201-nucleotide long non-coding RNA is filed under the name Stegodyphus dumicola. Its description in RNAcentral is "uncharacterized LOC118186074, transcript variant X3". The record is from RNAcentral. Lineage: Eukaryota; Metazoa; Arthropoda; Arachnida; Araneae; Eresidae.